AUCUUUUUUCACUGCCCUUUUGCCAAGGUAUGUUCGACAUAUCUCUGCCCCACUUGGACUCCAUGCUUCCAAGGCAUACAACCAGAGCUCGGAAGAUUAAAAGACCUUCUGGGAGUCCCAUUCUCUCUUGAGAUUAUCAUUUUGGCGGGAUGGGCAAUUUGGAUCGCCAAAAAUGGUUUUAUAUUCAAGGGUAUAACACCUAAUCUCUACAGAUGCUGGACGACGUUCAAGGAGGAACUGAAUUCGCUGGUGCAUAGAGUUAAUAGGAAAGAGUAUGUGAACCUUGAAGAGUGGGUCAAAGCCUUUAGAUGA
RNAcentral lists this ribosomal RNA (312 nucleotides) under Triticum aestivum (bread wheat). RNAcentral's name for it is "partial small subunit ribosomal RNA". Lineage: Eukaryota; Viridiplantae; Streptophyta; Magnoliopsida; Poales; Poaceae. The record is from RNAcentral.